This 31-nucleotide non-coding RNA is filed under the name Mus musculus (house mouse). The record is from RNAcentral. Lineage: Eukaryota; Metazoa; Chordata; Mammalia; Rodentia; Muridae.
UUCUACAAUAAAGCUCUGAAACAGACUGUUC